AACGAACGCUGGCGGCAUGCCUAACACAUGCAAGUCGAACGAGACCUUCGGGUCUAGUGGCGCACGGGUGCGUAACGCGUGGGAACCUGCCCUUAGGUUCGGAAUAACUCCCCGAAAGGGGUGCUAAUACCGGAUAAUGUCUUCGGACCAAAGAUUUAUCGCCUUUGGAUGGGCCCGCGUUGGAUUAGCUAGUUGGUAGGGUAAAAGCCUACCAAGGCGACGAUCCAUAGCUGGUCUGAGAGGAUGAUCAGCCACACUGGGACUGAGACACGGCCCAGACUCCUACGGGAGGCAGCAGUGGGGAAUAUUGGACAAUGGGCGAAAGCCUGAUCCAGCAAUGCCGCGUGAGUGAUGAAGGCCUUAGGGUUGUACAGCUCUUUUACCCGGGAUGAUAAUGACAGUACCGGGAGAAUAAGCUCCGGCUAACUCCGUG
RNAcentral lists this ribosomal RNA (433 nucleotides) under uncultured bacterium. RNAcentral describes it as "partial 16S ribosomal RNA". It matches the Rfam family "Bacterial small subunit ribosomal RNA", at positions 29 to 507 of the family's 1533-position model. The record is from RNAcentral.